Rhincodon typus (whale shark) is the source of this 291-nucleotide long non-coding RNA. RefSeq lists it as uncharacterized. NCBI's taxonomy places the organism in Eukaryota, Metazoa, Chordata, Chondrichthyes, Orectolobiformes, Rhincodontidae. The record is from RefSeq and is a predicted model, not a curated record. The transcript has 3 exons.
AGAGCAUUAAGAAGUAUCUGGCUUCAAUCAGUGACCAGUCGGACCUUAGCACUGAGGCUGGGAGCACUAGACGCAACAUCAAGAAGAAUCGAUACAAAGACAUCCUGCCAUAUGACCAGACUAGGGUGCCUCUGACGCUGCUCGAGAAUGAAGGGUAUUCUGACUACAUCAAUGCCAACUUCAUCCGGGGCAUUGACAGGGAUAAGUACUACAUCGCCACCCAAGGUCCCCUGGGGCAGACUGUUGUGGAUUUGUGGAGGAUGAUUUGGGAAUAUCAGGUCAAGGUGAGAU